This 87-nucleotide transfer RNA is filed under the name Pseudodesulfovibrio sp. RNAcentral's name for it is "tRNA-Leu". It matches the Rfam family "tRNA". From Rfam's summary of the family: Transfer RNA (tRNA) molecules are approximately 80 nucleotides in length. Their secondary structure includes four short double-helical elements and three loops (D, anti-codon, and T loops). Further hydrogen bonds mediate the characteristic L-shaped molecular structure. tRNAs have two regions of fundamental functional importance: the anti-codon, which is responsible for specific mRNA codon recognition, and the 3' end, to which the tRNAs corresponding amino acid is attached (by aminoacyl-tRNA synthetases). tRNAs cope with the degeneracy of the genetic code in two manners: having more than one tRNA (with a specific anti-codon) for a particular amino acid; and 'wobble' base-pairing, i.e. permitting non-standard base-pairing at the 3rd anti-codon position. The record is from RNAcentral. RNAcentral also lists the same sequence under 2 other names. Lineage: Bacteria; Pseudomonadati; Thermodesulfobacteriota; Desulfovibrionia; Desulfovibrionales; Desulfovibrionaceae.
GCCGUGGUGGUGGAAUUGGUAGACACGCUGUCUUGAGGGGGCAGUGGAAGAAAUUCCGUGGGGGUUCGAAUCCCCCCCUCGGCACCA